Molecule: long non-coding RNA, 374 nt
Organism: Hipposideros armiger (great roundleaf bat)
Lineage: Eukaryota; Metazoa; Chordata; Mammalia; Chiroptera; Hipposideridae
Exons: 3
Source: RefSeq, a predicted model, not a curated record
AACUCCAUAAGGGAAAGGAUUUGUAUCUAUUUUGAUGACUGCUGUAUUCCCGGCACCUAAAGUACCUGACACAUAAUAGAUGCUUAGACCUCUGGAGAAAAGAUCGCUGCUUCCAUUAGACGGAGGGCUUGAUUUGGCAGUAAACGCUGCAUGUUGUGUUCACAAGCACCUGUUACAGAAGGAGAAAAGCUUUGAAGAAGCAAGAUGCAGUGUUGUGAGCUGCCUUUGGAGAGGCCCACAUGGCACAAGGCUGAGGGUGGCCUCCAGGUGACAGCCAGUAAGAAACUGAGGCCCUCAUUAUGAUAGCCUGCGGGGAACUGAAUGCUGAGCUUGGGAGUGGAUGCUUCCCCAGUCAAGCCUCACAUGGGACCUGA